RNAcentral lists this ribosomal RNA (492 nucleotides) under uncultured bacterium. Its description in RNAcentral is "partial 16S ribosomal RNA". It matches the Rfam family "Bacterial small subunit ribosomal RNA", at positions 29 to 507 of the family's 1533-position model. The record is from RNAcentral.
AGUGAACGCUGGCGGUAGGCCUAACACAUGCAAGUCGAACGGCAGCACAGUAAGAGCUUGCUCUUACGGGUGGCGAGUGGCGGACGGGUGAGGAAUACAUCGGAAUCUACUUUUUCGUGGAGGAUAACGUAGGGAAACUUACGCUAAUACCGCAUACGACCUACGGGUGAAAGCAGGGGAUCUUCGGACCUUGCGCGAUUGAAUUAGCCGAUGUCGGAUUAGCUAGUUGGCGGGGUAAAGGCCCACCAAGGCGACGAUCCGUAGCUGGUCUGAGAGGAUGAUAAGCCACACUGGAACUGAGACACGGUCCAGACUCCUACGGGAGGCAGCAGUGGGGAAUAUUGGACAAUGGGCGCAAGCCUGAUCCAGCCAUACCGCGUGGGUGAAGAAGGCCUUCGGGUUGUAAAGCCCUUUUGUUGGGAAAGAAAAGCAGCAGGUUAAUACCCCGCUGUUCUGACGGUACCCAAAGAAUAAGCACCGGCUAACUUCGUG